AUGGUGGUAACGGGUAACGGGGUGUUAGGGCACGACACCGGAGAGGGAGCCUGAGAAACGGCUACCACAUCCAAGGAUGGCAGCAGGCGCGCAAAUUACCCAAUCCCGACACGGGGAGGUAGUGACAAUAAAUAACAAUACGGGGUCCUUUCGGGUUUCGUAAUUGGAAUGAGUACAAUUUAAAUCUCUUAACGAGGAACAAUUGGAGGGCAAGUCUGGUGCCAGCAGCCGCGGUAAUUCCAGCUCCAAUAGCGUAUAUUAAAGUUGUUGCAGUUAAAAAGCUCGUAGUUGAAUUUCGGGAUCAGUACGCCGGUCGUGCUUCGGUAUGCACUGGUGUCACUGGUUCCUCCCUUCUGAAGAACCACCAUGCCAUUCAUUUGGUGUGGCGGGGAAUCAGGACUGUUACUUUGAAAAAAUUAGAGUGUUUAAAGCAGGCAUUUUUGCCUGAAUACAUUAGCAUGGAAUAAUAAAAUAGGACGGCAUGGUUCUAUUUUGUUGGUUUCUAGGACCACCGUAAUGAUUAAUAGGGAUAGUUGGGGGCAUUAGUAUUCAAUUGUCAGAGGUGAAAUUCUUGGAUUUAUUGAAGACUAACUACUGCGAAAGCAUUUGCCAAGGAUGUUUUCAUUAAUCAAGAACGAAAGUUAGGGGAUCGAAGACGAUCAGAUACCGUCGUAGUCUUAACCAUAAACUAUGCCGA
RNAcentral lists this ribosomal RNA (697 nucleotides) under uncultured Glomeromycotina. Its description in RNAcentral is "SSU rRNA". It matches the Rfam family "Eukaryotic small subunit ribosomal RNA", at positions 346 to 1045 of the family's 1831-position model. The record is from RNAcentral. Lineage: Eukaryota; Fungi; Glomeromycota.